AGAGUUUGAUCCUGGCUCAGAACGAACGCUGGCGGCGUGCUUAACACAUGCAAGUCGAGUGCGCGUGCCGUAGCAAUACGGUAUGGCGCACGGCGCACGGGUGCGUAACACGUGGGCAAUCUGCCUCCGGUGGGGAAUAACCCCGCGAAAGCGGAGCUAAUUCCGCAUGACAUUCCCUGGAUUCCGGUUCGGGGACUCAA
RNAcentral lists this ribosomal RNA (200 nucleotides) under uncultured bacterium. RNAcentral describes it as "partial 16S ribosomal RNA". It matches the Rfam family "Bacterial small subunit ribosomal RNA", at positions 8 to 204 of the family's 1533-position model. The record is from RNAcentral.